UACGUAGGGUGCGAGCGUUGUCCGGAAUUAUUGGGCGUAAAGAGCUCGUAGGCGGUUUGUCGCGUCGAAUGUGAAAACCCGGGGCUCAACCCCGGGCCUGCAUUCGAUACGGGCAGACUAGAGUUCGGUAGGGGAGUCUGGAAUUCCUGGUGUAGCGGUGAAAUGCGCAGAUAUCAGGAGGAACACCGAUGGCGAAGGCAGAUCUCUGGGCCGUAACUGACGCUGAGGAGCGAAAGCGUGGGGAGCGAACAGG
This 253-nucleotide ribosomal RNA is filed under the name uncultured bacterium. Its description in RNAcentral is "partial 16S ribosomal RNA". It matches the Rfam family "Bacterial small subunit ribosomal RNA", at positions 524 to 776 of the family's 1533-position model. The record is from RNAcentral.